RNAcentral lists this ribosomal RNA (585 nucleotides) under Thinusa maritima. RNAcentral describes it as "partial 16S ribosomal RNA". It matches the Rfam family "Bacterial large subunit ribosomal RNA", at positions 1926 to 2756 of the family's 2925-position model. Lineage: Eukaryota; Metazoa; Arthropoda; Insecta; Coleoptera; Staphylinidae. The record is from RNAcentral.
AAUGGCCGCAGUAUUUUGACUGUGCAAAGGUAGCAUAAUCAUUAGUUUCUUAAUUAGAAACUGGAAUGAAAGGUUGGACGAGAAAAUAUCUGUCUCUUUUUUAAUUAUUUGGAAUUUUAUUUUUAAGUUAAAAAGCUUAAAUUUUUUUAAAAGACGAGAAGACCCUAUAGAAUUUUAUAUAUUUAAAUUUAAAUAAUUUUAUUAGUAUGUUAAAAAUUUUAAUUUGUGUAUAUUUAGUUGGGGUGAUUGAAAAAUUUUAUAAACUUUUUUUCUAUAAUUACAUUAAUUUAUGAAUUUUUGAUCCAUAAAAAUGAUUAAAAGAUUAAAUUACCUUAGGGAUAACAGCGUUAUUUCUUUGAAGAGUUCUAAUCAAUAAAGAAGUUUGCGACCUCGAUGUUGGAUUAAAAUUUAUUUUUGGUGUAGAAGCUAAAAAAUUAGGUCUGUUCGACCUUUAAAAUUUUACAUGAUCUGAGUUUAAACCGGUGUGAGCCAGGUUGGUUUCUAUCUUUAAAUAUUUCAUAUAUUUUAGUACGAAAGGACCAGAUAUAUAUAAUAAUUAUGGGUAUUUGAAUAUUAGUAAUAUCA